GAUCAUUAUUGAUUUUAGAAUACUCUUGUGGAUAUUUAAUUACAUUAAACUCAUCAUAUCAUUUUAAUUAUAACUAUCAACAACGGAUCUCUUGGCUCUCACAUCGAUGAAGAACGCAGCGAACCGCGAUAUUUUUUGUGACUUGCAGAUGUGAAUCAUCAAUCUUUGAACGCACAUUGCGCGGUGUGGUAUUCCGCACCGCACGGAUGGAAGAGCGUGUUCCCUUUGGGAUCGCAUUGCUUUCUUGAAAUGAAUCUAUUACUUCAAUAUACAUCAUUUCACCUC
Molecule: unclassified non-coding RNA, 285 nt
Filed under: Yarrowia lipolytica
Lineage: Eukaryota; Fungi; Ascomycota; Dipodascomycetes; Dipodascales
Description: sequence contains 18S rRNA gene, ITS1, 5.8S rRNA gene, ITS2, 28S rRNA gene
Rfam family: 5.8S ribosomal RNA (bases 72-220)
About the family: 5.8S ribosomal RNA (5.8S rRNA) is a component of the large subunit of the eukaryotic ribosome. It is transcribed by RNA polymerase I as part of the 45S precursor that also contains 18S and 28S rRNA.
Source: RNAcentral